GACGAACGCUGGCGGCGUGCUUAACACAUGCAAGUCGAACGGAAAGGCCCUGCUUUUGUGGGGUGCUCGAGUGGCGAAAAGGUGAGUAACACGUGAGUAACCUGCCCUUGACUUUGGGAUAACUUCAGGAAACUGGGGCUAAUACCGGAUAGGAGCUCCUGCUGCAUGGUGGGGGUUGGAAAGUUUCGGCGGUUGGGGAUGGAUUCGCGGCUUAUCAGCUUGUUGGUGGGGUAGUGGCUUACCCAGGCUUUGAGGGGUAGCCCGCCUGAGAGGGUGACCGGCCACAUUGGGACUGAGAUACGGCCCAGACUGCUACGGGAGGCAGCAGUGGGGAAUAUUGCACAAUGGGCGGAAGCCUGAUGCAGCAACGCCGCGUGCGGGAUGACGGCCUUCGGGUUGGAAACCGCGUUCGCCUGUGACGAAGCGUGAGUGACGGUAAUGGGUAAAGAAGCACCGGCUAACUACGUG
Molecule: ribosomal RNA, 468 nt
Filed under: uncultured bacterium
Lineage: Bacteria
Description: partial 16S ribosomal RNA
Rfam family: Bacterial small subunit ribosomal RNA
Source: RNAcentral